GGUUAAGGUCCAGACCUUCUUGGAGAUGGCAUGUGGUUUAAAAGUCACUGGUGAUAUAUGCUGCUGGAAAUCUGUUCUUUAGUAUUUUCUAGAAAUCUGAGAAAGUUUUUCAGGUAUUUUUCUUUUUGUUUUCCUUUUUCUUUUUUUUUUGGUAUGGUGUUGGGGAUCAAACCCAGGACCUCUCAUAUGCUAGGCAAGCUCUCUACCACUGAGCAAAAUCCCACCCCUGUUUUCAGGUUUCUCAUCAGAUAGUUUUGCGAUCUUGUUGGAAGCACUCUGCUACAAAACUGUCUUGAGUGUGGGAAUAUCAUGGGAAUCCCCUAGCCAUUGUGCCCUGAGAACACUGGAAAAACUUGAGAGCUACAGGAAUCUGUCUAGUGCUGGAAAAGUUGUUCAUUACCCUGGAUCCAGAAGAGCUGUGCUAUAAAACCAUUGGUGAAGCCAGUAUGUGGCACAUGCCUGUAAUACCAGCUACUCAGAAGGAGACAGGAGGAUUACAAGUUCAAGGCUAUUCUGGACAACCUUAGCAAGAGCCUGUCUCAAGAAAAUAAGAAGAGCUGGGGAUGUAACUCAGUUUAAAGUAGCCCUGUUUCAAGUCCCAGUACCAAUAAAACAAGACAAAAAAAACCAAAAUACAUUGGUGAGGAUAGAGGAGAACCCUGGAGAAAGAUUUUGACCAAUGUACUGCAAAAACUAGGUCCCAGAGAAGCUAGAGGUCUCUUGCUGGAGAAACUGUACUGUGCAGAAGGUUAUACAUUUGGACCAGAAGCAAAACACUGUUUUCUUCCUGGAUUGUCUCACCAUGUCCUCUUCAAAGAUGCAUAUUAGCU
RNAcentral lists this long non-coding RNA (830 nucleotides) under Marmota monax (woodchuck). Lineage: Eukaryota; Metazoa; Chordata; Mammalia; Rodentia; Sciuridae. The record is from RNAcentral.